This is a long non-coding RNA of Alligator mississippiensis (American alligator), 6293 nucleotides long. RefSeq lists it as uncharacterized. The transcript has 2 exons. NCBI's taxonomy places the organism in Eukaryota, Metazoa, Chordata, Crocodylia, Alligatoridae. The record is from RefSeq and is a predicted model, not a curated record.
GUCCGCCUGUGUUUUGAGGGUGCCCUGGAAAGGGGAAGCAUCUGACCUUGGUCAGCUUCUAGCCCUGCGGCGGGGGAGCUGCCCCGGGCCUGCCCCACGUGCCGCCUCCUGGGGGAGUAGCAGCCAGGCUGGGGUGCCUUUGUGCUGGGAGAGGGGAGCCCCCAGCCCUCGGGGCCGCUCUGCUGCCGCUUGUGAAUAAGGGGGAGCCUCCUCUGCUUUUCUUGCCUGGAGGUCUCCAGCUUUGGAGGUGGGAAUUAGACCCUGCUCUUGCUGCGCUGGUCUCCUCCGGGCUGUAGUGGGUGUUUGAAGAACCCUAAAAUGAGCAAAGGGGAGGUGAGGAAGAGGCAGAAUUGAGUGCAGGGAGCAGGGGCAUGUGGAUGCUGGGUUGAUACUGGGGUUAAGAGAUCAGGGUUGAUUUUGGAGGAGCAGUAUUAUUUAGGUGACAAGACUAUUACAGGCCCAAGAGCUUCUGUAGUGUUCAAAAAGUCAACGUUAUUUUUUUCAGUGCAUCUGGGAGCCUGAGGGAUGCUAAUUGGGACAUGUGCUAGGACUGAGCGUGCCACUUAAAAAUGAGAGAUCAACAGGUUACCUACCUACCAGCAGGCUACCUACCUACCUGUACAUAAAUACUGUGACUUUCAGGAGUGCAACUAUGAUUUUUAAAUCUCUUCAGCAGAUCUGACUCCUGAUUUUUGUUGUCUUGCAGCUGCCAGUACCAAGCUAUUUAAUUUUGCCACUAGGAGUUUUGUGGGUUUGGGGCCUAAAUUUACUAUGAUGUGACAAGUGAGGGUUACAAAUGAACAAAGCUACUAUUUGUGAGUUAAUACAAGUUGCAUAUUGCUCCUUGUGCCAAAGCAGGUGUAAAAAAAGUGGUGGAUAUUGUAAACGAUCUCCAAAAAAGAAUGGAAGUAAAAGAAACAGGUGGUUUUUUGUUUUUUUAAAAAGCUUCAAAAUAAUUGUGAUCUACUCUCAGUCCCUAGUUUACAGCAUUUUCUUAGUAGAUGUCAGCUCUGAACAUGGACAAUGAACUAAGGAAAUCAAGAUGUCUAUUGUAGUAAUUAAACCAUUUGAUCAGAUGGUGGAAAGUGUCUACAUUGUGUGAUUAAGAUAAAAAGCUUUUCAGUCUGCUCACUGGCAUGGUCCCUGCCCCAGACAGCUUGCUAUUAGACUAUCUCUUUAGCAUGCAUUUAUGCAGCGCCUCGUCUGAUGGGAUCCUGGCACAAGAUUGUGACACUUAAGUGCUGCUGAGAGGCUACUAAUAAUGACAUUUAAUACAUUAUCCAGGAAAGGGAUGUCAACAGAAUGGCCCAUCUGCCAAAUUCAGCCUGUUUGAUGCAUUUAUAUGGACAGCAGGACCUAGCCCCAGCUUUCUUUUAAAAGAAAAUAAAAGAAGAAGGGUAAUUUCUUUUUAAAAGAAGUUUGUUUCUAGCCUUCACUUUGGAAGAAAUAUUUCUGAACGGAGCAGACGAAGCGAAGCCGCUUUGCAUCUGCAGGCAGUAAUUCUGACGACAAGUCGGCUGUGUGAACUCCUUGCCUCCAUUUAUCUGAUUGGAGUGUCACAUUUAAAGUCCAGUGUUGAUAGCUCACUGUCAGCGUUAACUCUUUUAUUGCUGAUUAUUUUAGUGAAAUGCACAUUGAGCCACUGUAGGGAAGAAAGCACAAAGGGAAGAACAAAGGAAGCACAAGCAGGGUAGAGGGAGAAAGAGGGAGACAAAAAAAAUGGAGAAGGAAGAGAAAUACUGGGCAGAGAUAGAGAACCAUAUAGGGGAGCAGAUUUUUCUCACUGGAUGUGACAAUAAGGUCCUGAAUAAACAAGAUGUAACAGCUGGGAUAUCACAAGGCUAGGGUCUUUCCUUGAUCCCCCAACAAACCUCCCUGUGACACUGGUAAAGGAUUAUUGUGGAUUUAGGGGAGUAUGACAUUCUGACUUUAUAUCCUAGCUCAUGAAUCCUAAUUUAAAUGUGAUGUUUGGUUCUCUGUACUGUAUUCUCUCAGCACAUGUUUUCUGUGUACAUCUCUCAGAUCAUCCUUGAGGUCUUAUAUUUUUCUUUUUACUGAGGUAUCUGGGAGAAUGUGUUUUCUUUAAAGGAUAUUUGCAUGUCCAUUUGUCUUUGCAAAAAUAGCAUUUUGCUCCUGGGUGAGACUUUUCCAUCUAAAUGGAUAACAGAAUGAACAAAAAAAGCUGAGGAGUUUAAGUGCCAUGAAGAUAUACAGGGAGGCAGUUUUAUAACAAUGAGAGUAUUUCUAAGCAUACUUCAUAAUUUAUGAAGUCAUAAAUCACUUGAUCACAGAUGGUAAAGCACAGCUUUUCUAAGUGCUUGAGGGCCUCUUAUUAUUCUAGGAGCACCUGAUGUGCAUGAAACAGUUUUAAAAACACUUGGAACAUUAAAAUGUGCUUCGAAUCCAGCUUGAGGAGUCGAUUUUAUGACCAUGUUAAGACUGCUCAGCUCCGAAUCUCACCCUGUAAAGAAGAAAGAAUCUUCCCAUUAUAUGAUUACUCCUAAUCCUAUUAACACAAUAAAUUGAGUUACUGUGAAUAACUCUACGGCUAAUCUCCAGUACGUAGGGCCUGCAUCUGUAGCGGCUUGGCAAAAUGUGUUCCUCAAAGCUUACAUUACCUGUUAUAACCACGUAUUUUUAUUAGGACUAUCAGUCACAGUUAAUGUAAACAACACAUUAAUCGUUCACGUUUAAUUUUUUUAACGUGUUAAUCGUGUACAUGGUUUUGGAGCCUGUGCCCGGGCUUUGCUCCCCUGCUGUCACCGCCACCACCGGGCUGCCUCGCUGGGCAGUGGUGGUAGCACAGGGUACCACAAGGCAGCCAGGGCACAGGCUCAGGGCUGCUGGAGCAGGGGCAGGAAGGGUGUGCACCGACACAGACACAGAUGAGCAGCUGAGGCCUGCAUGGGGGGCCACUCCCACCACUGUGUGCUGGGCUCAGUGGCAACAGGGUGCAGAGCCCAGCACAGUGACAGCCCACCUCCACCCCAUGCACGAGUCCAGGGGGCACAUGCCCCCCCAAGCCUCCCGCGGGGGUGCUCAUAGUGGUGGAAGUCGCCCCCCCCCCGCCCCUGGACGAGCCUCUCGCAGCUCCAUCUCAUGACCGGCCCCAGCCCCAGGGUCCCAUUCACCCUUGCCCCUGCUCCUGCCCCACUCCCUCCCUCACCAUGGAGACCUUGAUCUGCCCCGCCACACCCCUUUCCUCCCCCACUCUUACCUGCUAGGCAGUGUCUAUAUGUGUGUAUGCCCCUCACUCCCAAGCCACAGCCCCCCCUGCCCUGCUGCUGCCCCUUAUUCCUGACCCACAGUAUCUCACAUCCUGCCAGGGUGUGUGGGAACCCCCUGUCCCCAGGCUUCAAACCCCCCACACACACACCCUCCACCCCCACCCCCCAACCAUACAAAGUACCUGCAUUAUUUUUACAUACCUUUAGUUUUUCUGUGCGUAAUUUUGAGUUUUUUAGCUGUGCGAUUAAAAUUGUGAUUAAUUGCAACUAAUUUUUUUAAUCGCACAACUAAUCAUGAUCAAAUUUUUUAAUUGUUUGACAGCCCUAAUUUUUAUGUCUCUUUAAAUUAAUAUAAAAAUAGGGCCUUGCAGAACUGGAAAUGCUGAGGCAAGUAUAGUUACAAACAACUAUCACUAUGCCACUUCAAACUGCUGUCAAGUUAAUAUCAAUGAAAGUAAAAAACAACAUUGUGAUGCUUCACUUUUGAAACUGGAGCCAGUGAUGCAUCAUGUAACAAUCCUGUUUUCACUUCCUGGUUUAGGUCCUGAUCCUGUUUCUACAGAAGUUUUGCCAUUAACUGCAUUGGAACAGAGCCUCGCAGUGUUAUAUCGCAUUUGUGGGCAACACGAUAUUUUGAAACUGUGAAAUGUUCCUGCAAGUAUUUGCUCCUCAGAAGGUGACUUAUGACUUGACAGAAGCCCUGGAGUCAUGGACCAUUCAAAUAAUGUUUUUUUGAAAUGUGAUAGACUCUAUGGAAUUUUUAGAGACAAAAGUAUUGACUACAGGGUGUCCUCAACUUACAAAGUUUCGAGUUACAACACUUCACGCUUACAAUGUUUAUAAAUUGACACCUUGUUUCAACUUUCUGACAUCAGUUUUGACUUUACAAUGCUUGAUCUGUCGCGACACCACACCAGCGAACAAGUUCACUGCAUCACCCAUCUCCCUGGAGAACAUCUGUCCAGAUUUCCGUGGACACUUUCUUUAAGAAAACAGCCGAGACUCCAGAAAAACCUGCAGCCAAGACUCCUGAGAAGACUCCAGCCAAGAACCCUUCAAAAAGUCCAACCAAGAGCCCUUCAAAAAGUCUAGUGAUGUCAUGUAAAAAAAAGUCCUUCCAAAUCAAUAUAAUUGCUAUCUACAAUAUAAAUGCAUUGAUGUAGUUAUGUUACUCAUCUAUAAUUGAUUGAGUACAAAAUUCUGGGUUAUUUUGGUGAAAAUAGGGUAUCAAGCCUUGGUUCAGGAACCAAUCCCCCAUUUAUAACAUUCUUUCCUAUGGGAAAUUUGAUUCCAAGUUACAACGUUUCGACUUAAGACGCAGUUUUCAGGAACCAAUUGUGUCGUAAAUCCGAGGACUGCCUGUAUAUGCAAUGUGUAUACGGAUCGUUAUGGUCUCAUUAGGAAUCCUGUUCCUGGCUAGACUGGUAAAAUAAAGGAUGCUUCAUCUAGAAACUAAAGACAAUGCUUAUCCCUUUUGCCGAAACAAUGCAGCUGACAAGUCUUGAAGCUUCUCCUCCCUGGGGAAGAGGGAUGCAGACUGACUCAACCAAGUUCAAAGGAGACAAAGCACUUGAAACUGUGUGAAAUAACAGCCCCUGACCUGCAAGACAGAGACAUUAUCUGAAAACUGACAGGCGUGAGACUGAGAGAAACAAAAAUGGGCCCUGUGGGAGGGUACGGAGCACUGCAGACUUGCCAGGGUCUCCAUGUGGAAGAUGGGUGAACACCUGGUAAGCUAGAUGUGUACAAGCUGCCUAUUGUUGUGUGUGCUGUUUUCUCUGAAGGCCUCUGUUCCAAAUAACUAAUACUUUGCUUUAUGAAAGCUGUCUGCUCACUGGUUAACACUAUUCUUGUCCUUUAGAGAAAAGAUUUGCAGGUGCUGAACUGAAGUCAGACCAGCUGAGGCACUUACAAUGAAAGUACUGAGGAAUUGCUGCCUAGGUGCCUGGUCUGGAGGGUGAGAAAGCAGGAUCUUUCCUUGAAAAAGGUGACAGGUCUCCAGGUGCCACCUAAAUGGGGGUGCCCUAAGGUGACCAUAAGGGAAUCUAAGGUGCAGUUUGCAUAGGAACCAUGAUCUUUAUUCCAUUGGAAAUACUUUCAUCCUAAUCCUGUAUCAGUACAGUCCAACAUAAUAUUACCUACCUUCUCCACAAGCAUUAAUACAGGAAAAUUACUUUCAGCAGAUACAUACGUAUGCACUCACUCUCAAGUCUGGUCAGUUUUAGUUUUGUUUAGCAAGAUGAUCAAAUGAACAUACAGAGAAGCAGGUAAUCAGAUUCAUGACUCUCUUUUAUUGCAGGUUUUGCUUUUGAUUACAGAUCAAAUGGUGUAAGCAAUACUCUCAUCUAUUGUCACAGACAGAUACACUAGUGAUGUUAGGAACAAACAACAGAUCAGAUCUUAUUUUUUUGUUGUGUGAAUCUAUUUUUCUGUGCAUUUAGAUUUCAGCAGAUUUCCCUUGGAAUAUAUUGAUCCUCUGAGCAGUUCUAAGUAUCUACAGUUUUAUCCCUACAAUUGUAUGCAGGUGUAAAUAAACUUAGUUACAUGUCUAGUACUGGAUUGAGCCCACAGUAGUUAUCUAACUGACUUUGCUGGAAUCUGUCCAUAAUUGCAGCUGCAAAACAGGAGACCAUAUUUUAAAAAAUCUAAUCUGAUGUUUGAAAAUCUUGAACAGAAGAUCUAAGUAAGGCAUGAGUGUACAUGAACUUGCAACAUAUUAGCUGUUUUUAAUUAAAAUACAUGCACAUACUUAGAUUACAAAUGUCAUUCUGAAGAAGUUGAAGGACUCUGCCUUGUUUAACUCUGCCUUGUUAAAACAUUCUUCCCUGCCCUAAAGAAAUGUACUUGGUGUUAGUCCUAUCAAGAUUUUGAAUGGCAAGUUUCUGUAUUUUUAUACUGAUUAGCUAUCAAAAUUCAGCUAAUCUUUUCCUGACUUGUGUUGUGUAAUUGUUCUUACUAUGUGUUGUAGUUAAAAGUAGCUAAGACUACUUUUAGCAGACCUUCUUCUUUAGUUGGUCUUUUGGUAGAAGCGUUUUAAAAAAUAAAAUAAAAAAUUAUGGGGGGCAA